RNAcentral lists this small nuclear RNA (283 nucleotides) under Rattus norvegicus (Norway rat). RNAcentral describes it as "7SK RNA". It matches the Rfam family "7SK RNA". From Rfam's summary of the family: 7SK was discovered as an abundant small nuclear RNA in the mid-70s but a possible function has only recently been suggested. Two independent studies have found that 7SK RNA binds the CDK9/cyclin T complex (known as elongation factor P-TEFb). Lineage: Eukaryota; Metazoa; Chordata; Mammalia; Rodentia; Muridae. The record is from Rfam by way of RNAcentral.
GGGUGUGAGGAUGAUCUGGCUGGGACGUCCGUUACUCUGUUGAUCGCCAGGGUUAGUUCAGCUGAUCUGGCUGGCUAGGUGGGUGUCCCCUUCCCCUGCACAGCUCUGCGUCCCUGAAUGAGGGAGCACGGGUCUUCAGCCAAUAUGAAUAGCUUCUGUACAUGAAUGGCUGCGCUCUCCUGCCGGAACUGCCAAGCACACUCCCAAGAACCCAACGUGCUCUUGCACACUCAUAACACUCCUCCAAGAAUAUAUGUUAAAAGCUAGCAGUACGCUUGCCUUU